This 253-nucleotide ribosomal RNA is filed under the name uncultured bacterium. Its description in RNAcentral is "partial 16S ribosomal RNA". It matches the Rfam family "Bacterial small subunit ribosomal RNA", at positions 524 to 776 of the family's 1533-position model. The record is from RNAcentral.
CACGUAGGGUGCAAGCGUUGUCCGGAAUUAUUGGGCGUAAAGGGCUCGUAGGCGGUCCGUCGCGUCGGGAGUGAAAACUCGGGGCUCAACCCCGAGCCUGCUUUCGAUACGGGCGGACUAGAGGUAGGUAGGGGAGAACGGAAUUCCUGGUGUAGCGGUGGAAUGCGCAGAUAUCAGGAGGAACACCCAUGGCGAAGGCAGCUCUCUGGUCGACCUCUGACGCUGAGACGCGAAAGCGUGGGGAGCGAACGGG